CCUACGGGAGGCAGCAGUGAGGAAUAUUGGUCAAUGGGCGUAAGCCUGAACCAGCCAAGUCGCGUGAGGGAUGAAGGUUCUAUGGAUCGUAAACCUCUUUUAUAAGGGAAUAAAGUGCGGGACGUGUCCCGUUUUGUAUGUACCUUAUGAAUAAGGAUCGGCUAACUCCGUGCCAGCAGCCGCGGGAAUACGGAGGAUCCGAGCGUUAUCCGGAUUUAUUGGGUUUAAAGGGCGGGUAGGCGGCCUUUUAAGUCAGCGGUGAAAUUCUGUGGCUCAACCAUGGAAUUGCCGUUGAAACUGGGUGGCUUGAGUAUGUUUGAGGCAGGCGGAAUGCGGGGUGUAGCGGUGAAAUGCUUAGAUAUCACGCAGAACCCCGAUUGCGAAGGCAGCCUGCCAAGCCAUGACUGACGCUGAUGCACGAAAGCGUGGGGAUCAAACAGGAUUAGAUACCCUAGUAGUC
RNAcentral lists this ribosomal RNA (460 nucleotides) under uncultured bacterium. Its description in RNAcentral is "partial 16S ribosomal RNA". It matches the Rfam family "Bacterial small subunit ribosomal RNA", at positions 338 to 795 of the family's 1533-position model. The record is from RNAcentral.